AUAAUUUCCAGACAUCAGACUCGGCAGGGGAAGAUGUAACUGGAAGAUGACCUGGCUUCUGGGACAGAUGAAGAAGAAAAGAAAAGGAAAGACAACAUAGAAGACGUCUAUUGCACCAAAAGCCAGAAGAAGACCAGGACAAGAGGACGGGACUGCGAUAUUGGUGGCACCAGGGGAGCAGUGAAAGGCAGCCACAGAGGAAGACACUUGCUUUACAAUCUAACUACCCUGCGGUCUUCUUGUCUCUUUGCCAAUGGAAACCUUGGCCUGAUUUGUGCAAACCAAGUGACCUAAAUAGACAGUGG
Molecule: long non-coding RNA, 305 nt
Organism: Hyla sarda
Lineage: Eukaryota; Metazoa; Chordata; Amphibia; Anura; Hylidae
Exons: 3
Source: RefSeq, a predicted model, not a curated record